GUACCUGAGACGCUGUGUGGAGUUUAUCUGCAAAGAUUUACGGACGUUUUCUUGUCUUUACUGUGACCUUUCCCCACAUCUGAUUUGUGAUUGCCAAGCGACAUGGCCUCCGUGGUUUAUUUUACGCGCUCCUCAGGCUGCGCCGCCGGGCGGUAACUUUUUUUGUACUUUUGAAUAGUUUGAGUAUUUAUGAUCAUUAUUUCUUUACUGACAAACAGUUUGUGAGAACUAAAAGUAUCUUUAAAUGUAACUCUGUGUGUGUGUGUAAAAGUGUCUGUUUAAAAUCAUGCUCCCAGUCUCAUGGCGCACUAACUGCAGUGACACGCAGCACGUUUAUUUCACGCAGGCUUGAGUCGUUUUGCCUGUGAGGCAUUAUGCUGCUGGAGACAGUCGACGGUGGGUUGUGACGGCUGUGAAUCCAACAUGGAAGCGCAGAAGGAUGAAGGCCGAGGGCCGUGGUCAUCUUCGCCUCCCGCUCCCUCCAGCUCUGUCUGCUACAGGAGCGGUCUCAUACUCUUCCUCCUCUUCUUCCUUAUUAUUGGCAUCUUUGUCGGCCUGGUUAUAGCGUACCUUGUGCAGGAGCAGCAUCAUUUCAUGGAGACAGUGGAGCUCAGAGGUCUGAAGUACGACGCUGCACUGCAGGAUAAGAGCUCUGGUUUCUCCAUAGUACUGUCCUCAGUUUUAAAGUCCAGGAUUAAAAACGUCUUCACCGCCUCACCCAUAACACGUCACUUUGUCGAUUGCAGCAUUGUUGCCUAUGGUAACAUUAACGGAGAUGUGAUGGCGACGCUCCGACUCGUCUUCAGGGUGUCCAAGAUCCAGCAGUAUUCAGAAAACUUUGUUCAGGACUUGCUGAGUGCAGGACUCAGCUCAUCGAUGCACGGGAAA
This is a long non-coding RNA of Astatotilapia calliptera (eastern happy), 888 nucleotides long. The record is from Ensembl. Lineage: Eukaryota; Metazoa; Chordata; Actinopteri; Cichliformes; Cichlidae.